Molecule: ribosomal RNA, 460 nt
Filed under: uncultured bacterium
Lineage: Bacteria
Description: partial 16S ribosomal RNA
Rfam family: Bacterial small subunit ribosomal RNA
Source: RNAcentral
CCUACGGGCGGCAGCAGUGAGGAAUAUUGGUCAAUGGACGAGAGGCUGAACCAGCCAAGUCGCGUGAGGGAAGACGGCCCUACGGGUUGUAAACCUCUUUUGUCGAGGAGCAAAGCGAACCACGUGUGGUUUAUUGAGAGUACCCGAAGAACAAGCAUCGGCUAACUCCGUGCCAGCAGCCGCGGUAAUACGUAGGGGGCAAGCGUUAUCCGGAUUUACUGGGUGUAAAGGGAGCGUAGACGGCAGCACAAGUCUGUAGUGAAAGCCCGGGGCUUAACCCCGGAACUGCUUUGGAAACUGUGCGGCUGGAGUGCAGGAGGGGUAAGCGGAAUUCCUAGUGUAGCGGCGAAAUGCGUAGAUAUUAGGAGGAACACCGGUGGCGAAGGCGGCUUACUGGACUGUAACUGACGUUGAGGCUCGAAAGCGUGGGGAGCAAACAGGAGUAGAUACCCUAGUAGUC